This 1889-nucleotide long non-coding RNA is filed under the name Olea europaea subsp. europaea. Lineage: Eukaryota; Viridiplantae; Streptophyta; Magnoliopsida; Lamiales; Oleaceae. The record is from RNAcentral.
CUUUAAGAGUACAAAUUUGUCUGAGACAAAUACUAGUUUAAACCCGUUCUUACUUAGUAGAGAACCAGAUACCAAGUUUUUCCUAAUAUCGGGCACAUGAAAAACGUCAUUCGAAGUGAGCUCUUUUCCACUUGUCAUUUUUAGCACUAUCUUCCCAUGUCCUUCUACCUUGGAAGAUGACGAGUUUCCCAUGUAGAAAUGUUCAUCAUGAUCCAUCGCUUUGUACGUAGAGAACAUCCCGCGAUUUGAGCAUAUGUGACGAGUAGCUCCAGUAUCCACCCACCACUCCUUAGUGUUUCCAGCUAAGUUACAUUCACAGACAACCGCAGAAAGAUUCAUGUCUUGUACCUUAUCAAUGAGGUUCUCAUGUUCUGUUACAUUGGUCUGGUGAGUUUUUUCCUUCACAUUCUUUGGCUUUCGACAAUUUUUGGAUUGAUGUCCUGCCUUGCCACAAUUGUAAUAGUUGCCUUUAAACUUUUUAACAGUUUUUGAAGAAUCAGUUUGUCCUUCACCAUUGUGCUUCCUCUUUUUGCUAGUCUUGAAGCCUCCUUCUACAAUGUUGAUUUUUGAUUCCAUCGAAUGAGAUGCACCAUUCCUUUUUUCAGUUUUGCGAUUUUCUUCUUCUAUUCUCAAUCGGACAAUGAUAUCUUCAAGUUUCAUUUCCUUCCGCUUGUGCUUUAGGUAAUUCUUGAAAUCCUUCCAUGAAGGUGGUAAUUUUUCAAUCAGUGCAGGGACUUGAAAAGAUUCACUUAGUUUCAUUCCUUCGGCAUGGAUGUCGCUAAGUAUGAUUUGAAGUUCUUGAACUUGGGAUAUGACAGUCUUGCUGUCAACCAUUUUAUAGUCCGAAAAUCGACCGACAAUAAAUUUCUUCGUGCCGGCAUUUUCGGUUUUUACUUGGUGUCUAAAGAUUUCCAUAGUUCUUUUGCGGACUUCAUAUUGCAGUACACAUUAUAUAAUGUGUUGUCCAAUCCAUUAAGUACAUAAUUUCUGCACAGAAAAUCAGAAUGCUUCCAUGCAUCAAUUGCAGCCAAUUUUUCAGCAUCACUGUCUUGCUCGGUAUAUGAAGGUGCAUCUUUUUUGAGAAAUUUAGUCAGAUUUAAUGUUGUCAGAUAAAAAAAUAUUUUUUGUUGCCAACGCUUGAAAUUUGACCCAUUAAAUUUUUCUGAUUUUUCCCCGUUCGUAUUCGGGAGUGUGGUACCAGAAGUUGUCAUUUCUGAAACACAAUCAGAAGAUCAACUGUAAAAAGGAGUAGAAACAGAAACAGAAUAAUAGCGAAGUUCGUUUUAAGAUUGUUGUUUCUAGAGUUUGAAAUUACUCCUUCGAAAACAAUCCGACAAAAUCACCUGAAUAUAAGAAAUGAUCAACAGGAUCCAAAAUGUAAUUCGAACCCAUCGACUUCACAAUGUUUCAUUAAAAUGAAUUUGCUGCCUUCAAUGGUGCUAAAGGCAUCCAGCAAUCGUUUCCCAGGAUAGAACGAAUUUUCGUCUCCUACAGAAGCAGUACAACAAUCUGCAGGAGUUACAACGAACUCAACGAAUUGUAUUUGACUUUGAAACAAUAUCAGAACGAGAGAGAGGAGAAUAAGAUUCAAAGCACAGAAAGUUUCCAAUGAAAAAAAAAAUUUAAUUUCAUAAUGUACCCAAAAAUUUGAUUAUUUAGUCCAAAAAAGUUAAUAUAGUACAAAGGUCCUCCCGCACCCGCGCACGUGCUGGACGGACGACGGUGCGCGCAUGUGUUUAUGACCGAACUCAAUAGGAUAUAGGUCUUCCCCCUUCCAAAAACUAUUGGUACCCUUUGGUGCCCAAACCCAAUUCUCAAACUUCCACCUUAUAAACCACACCAAAGUUUCCUAACUUUCCUAUGUGGGAUAAGUGUUUGAAAAAUCAAAU